This 882-nucleotide ribosomal RNA is filed under the name Neosetophoma shoemakeri. RNAcentral describes it as "eukaryotic LSU rRNA". It matches the Rfam family "Eukaryotic large subunit ribosomal RNA", at positions 39 to 940 of the family's 3401-position model. The record is from RNAcentral. Lineage: Eukaryota; Fungi; Ascomycota; Dothideomycetes; Pleosporales; Phaeosphaeriaceae.
CAUAUCAAUAAGCGGAGGAAAAGAAACCAACAGGGAUUGCCCUAGUAACGGCGAGUGAAGCGGCAACAGCUCAAAUUUGAAAUCUGGCUCUUUUAGGGUCCGAGUUGUAAUUUGCAGAGGGCGCUUUGGCGUUGGCAGCGGUCCAAGUUCUUUGGAACAGGACGUCACAGAGGGUGAGAAUCCCGUACGUGGUCGCUAGCCUUCGCCGUGUAAAGCCCCUUCGACGAGUCGAGUUGUUUGGGAAUGCAGCUCUAAAUGGGAGGUAAAUUUCUUCUAAAGCUAAAUACUGGCCAGAGACCGAUAGCGCACAAGUAGAGUGAUCGAAAGAUGAAAAGCACUUUGGAAAGAGAGUCAAAUAGCACGUGAAAUUGUUGAAAGGGAAGCGCUUGCAGCCAGACUUGCCUGUAGUUGCUUAUCCGGACUUUUGUCCGGUGCACUCUUCUGCGGGCAGGCCAGCAUCAGUCUAGGCGGUUGGAUAAAGGUCUCUGUCAUGUACCUCUCUUCGGGGAGGCCUUAUAGGGGAGACGACAUGCAACCAGCCUGGACUGAGGUCCGCGCAUCUGCUAGGAUGCUGGCGUAAUGGCUGUAAGCGGCCCGUCUUGAAACACGGACCAAGGAGUCUAACAUCUAUGCAAGUGUUUGGGUGUCAAGCCCAGACGCGUAAUGAAAGUGAACGGAGGUGGGAACCCUUUGGGUGCACCAUCGACCGAUCCUGAUGUCUUCGGAUGGAUUUGAGUAAGAGCAUGGCUGUUGGGACCCGAAAGAUGGUGAACUAUGCUUGAAUAGGGUGAAGCCAGAGGAAACUCUGGUGGAGGCUCGCAGCGGUUCUGACGUGCAAAUCGAUCGUCAAAUUUGGGCAUAGGGGCGAAAGACUAAUCGAAC